AACUUCUGUUUGCCCAUCCGUUUGAGGAUGAUAGGCAGAAGAGAAAUUCAGCUUGGUUCCACUCAAUCGAAACAAUUCGCGCCAAAAAUUACUGGUAAACACAGCAUCACGGUCGCUAACAAUGGACUCGGGUAAUCCAUGUAAGCGAAAAACAUGUGAGAAGAAAGCAUGGGCUAUGGUUACAGAAUUAUAGGGAUGCGAAAGUGGUAUGAAAUGGGCAAAUUUAGAAAAGCGAUCAACUACAACGAACAAAAUAGACUUGCCUUUCGCCUUGGGUAAAACCUCCACAAAAUCCAUCGAUAUAUCUGACCAUAUCUGAGAUGGAAGGGCUAAGGGCUGUAACAACCCAGCCGGAUGCAAAUUGGAUGACUUCUGUUGUUGACAAAUUGUGCAAAGAUUCAACAAAGUCUCGGAUAGCAGAUUUCAUGCCACGCCAAUAAAAUUCACUGCAAAUGCGAUGCAGCGUUUUCUGGAUGCCUUCAUGGGUACUAUUAUGUAUUUCUGCAAUUAUAGUAGGAAUUAGUAGAGAAGUUGAUGGAAGGAAAACCCGCUGAUUGUAAUGAAUGAGACCAUUGGAUACCGACCAUUCUGACCCGAGCUCGCCAUCUUCAACUUGGCGCCAUAACUGACUAAGAGAGUCGGUGUUGUUAAUCUCAGCUCGGAUAGCUUCCAACAAUGACAUUAUUGGUUGCGAAAUAGCCAUUAAAGUGCAUUGUUCUUCAUCUCGCCGAGAUAGUGCAUCAGCCACGAUAUUUUGUUGCCCAGCUUUAUACUCGACUCGAAAAUCAAAACCAAGUAAUUUGCUGAGCCAGUGCUGCUGUGGCGAGGUAGUAAGCCGUUGCUCAAGCAAAUAUUUCAAACUAUAAUGAUCAGUUCGGAUAAGAAACUGCCUUCCCCACAAAUAAGGGCGCCAAUGAACCACCGCUUUGGCCAAACCAAUUAAUUCUCACUCAUAUGUAGCCAGUUUAUGGUGUCGGUCAGCCAAUUUGCGACUGAAAAAAGCAAUGGGGUGGCUGCUCUGUUGAAGAACUGCACCGAUUCCUACACCCGAGGCAUCACAUUCGACUAUAAACUCAUCAUCAAAAUUAGGGAGUUGAAGAACAGGGGCUUGCGACAAUGCAGUUUUAAGUGCAUCAAAGGAAGUGGCAGCCUCAGCAGUCCAGUGAAAGCUAUUCUUUUUUAACAAACUCGUCAAUGGGUUAGCGGGCUGUCCAUAAUUACAAAUAAAUUUUCGGUAAUAUCCUGCUAGCCCAAGAAACCCUCGCAGUGCCUUAAUAGAAGUAGGUGGUGGCCAGUGUAGGAUGGCUGAAAUCUUGGAAAUGUCAACUGCAACACCAGCGACACUAAUGACAUGACAAAGAUAGGCCACUUGCUCUUCACCAAAGGAACAUUUGGAUCUUUUAAGGAAUAAUUGGUGAGAGCGAAGUAACUGAAACACUAUACGGACAUGUUGCAAAUGGUCUUCCCACGUUUUGUUGUAAAUCAAAAUAUCAUCAAAGAAAACCAGAACGAACUUGCAUAAGUAAGGCUGAAAUACCUCAUUCAUUAAUGCCUGGAAGGUGGAUGGAGCAUUGGUGAGGCCGAACGGCAUAACCAGAAAUUCGAAGUGCCCAUGAUGAGUGCAAAAGGCUGUUUUCUCUACAUCUUCAGCCGCCAUACGGACCUGGAAAUAUCCCGAUUUCAAAUCUAAUUUUGUGAAGUACCGAGCACCAUGGAGUUCAUCCAAUAACUCAUCCACUACUGGAAUCGGAAACUUAUCUUUAAUUGUUUUAGUAUUAAGCUCCCGGUAGUCGACACAGAAACGCCAUGUGCCUUCCCGUUUUUUAACAAGCAAAACUGGUGAUGAGUAAGGGGAAUGACUAGGGUGGAUGAUUCCUUGGCUAAGCAUUUCCUCACACUGCUUCUCAAUUUCUUCUUUCUGAAAAUGAGGAUAUCUGUAAGGCCGGACUACCACAGGUGCUGAACCCGGAAAUAAGAAUAUACGGUGGUCACAUGAACGAAUGGGAGGCAGCCCCUUGGGUUCUUGAAACAAAUCAGCAAAUUGUUUAAGAAUUCCCUUCAAUCAUUCUGCUUGUUGUUCAUUCAGAAGUUGUAGUCUUGGUCUAUGGUUAGGUUGGAGUCUCUGCAAUGUGACCUGUCUAUUUCCUAAUUUGAAACACAUAGUGAGAGUUGAAAAAUUCCACCAGAUAGGACCUAAUGUCAUCAGCCAUCGUACACCUAAAACCACAUCAAAUCCAUCUAGCGGGAUAACAUAUAAUU
Molecule: unclassified non-coding RNA, 2259 nt
Filed under: Hevea brasiliensis (rubber tree)
Lineage: Eukaryota; Viridiplantae; Streptophyta; Magnoliopsida; Malpighiales; Euphorbiaceae
Source: RNAcentral